Molecule: long non-coding RNA, 202 nt
Filed under: Mytilus galloprovincialis (Mediterranean mussel)
Lineage: Eukaryota; Metazoa; Mollusca; Bivalvia; Mytilida; Mytilidae
Source: RNAcentral
AAUUUGGGUGGUGUCACUUUGUGCUGAUAAAUUGUUUGAUUGUUGUUGCAUGCUUAAUGUCAUGGAGUCAGUUUCACAAAAAAACUUACAACAAAGAUUGAUCUCAACAUGCUAUAUAUAUAUACGUCUGAGUCAGUGACAACUCUACAAUAAACAGAUUUAUCCAUCGGAUCACCCAGGUGGUCGUGUGGUCUAGCGGGAC